GUGUCAGCAGCCGCGGUAAUACGAAGGGUGCAAGCGUUAAUCGGAAUUACUGGGCGUAAAGCGUGCGUAGGUGGUCUUUUAAGUCCGUUGUGAAAGCCCUGGGCUCAACCUGGGAAUGGCAGUGGAUACUGGAAGGCUGGAGUACGGUAGAGGAGGGUGGAAUUCCCGGUGUAGCGGUGAAAUGCGUAGAGAUCGGGAGGAACAUCAGUGGCGAAGGCGGCCCUCUGGACCAGUACUGACGCUGAGGCACGAAAGCGUGGGGAGCAAACAGGAUUAGAUACCCCCGUAGUCC
Molecule: ribosomal RNA, 292 nt
Filed under: uncultured bacterium
Lineage: Bacteria
Description: partial 16S ribosomal RNA
Rfam family: Bacterial small subunit ribosomal RNA
Source: RNAcentral